This 490-nucleotide ribosomal RNA is filed under the name uncultured bacterium. Its description in RNAcentral is "partial 16S ribosomal RNA". It matches the Rfam family "Bacterial small subunit ribosomal RNA", at positions 29 to 507 of the family's 1533-position model. The record is from RNAcentral.
AGUGAACGCUGGCGGUAGGCCUAACACAUGCAAGUCGAACGGCAGCACAGGGGAUCUUGCUCUCUGGGUGGCGAGUGGCGGACGGGUGAGGAAUACAUCGGAAUCUGCCCAGUCGUGGGGGAUAACGUAGGGAAACUUACGCUAAUACCGCAUACGACCUUCGGGUGAAAGAGGGGGAUCGCAAGACCUCUCGCGAUUGGAUGAGCCGAUGUCGGAUUAGCUAGUUGGCGGGGUAAUGGCCCACCAAGGCGACGAUCCGUAGCUGGUCUGAGAGGAUGAUCAGCCACACUGGAACUGAGACACGGUCCAGACUCCUACGGGAGGCAGCAGUGGGGAAUAUUGGACAAUGGGCGCAAGCCUGAUCCAGCCAUACCGCGUGGGUGAAGAAGGCCUUCGGGUUGUAAAGCCCUUUUGUUGGGAAAGAAAUCUUUCAGGCUAAUACCCUGGGAGGAUGACGGUACCCAAAGAAUAAGCACCGGCUAACUUCGUG